Molecule: microRNA precursor, 53 nt
Filed under: Marmota monax (woodchuck)
Lineage: Eukaryota; Metazoa; Chordata; Mammalia; Rodentia; Sciuridae
Source: RNAcentral
UUUUUAGCAUAAAUAUGUCUCAUGCAAUGUUUGGAAUAUGGCUUAUGCUAAGA